GGUUGUAGCUGGCCUUUUACGAGGCAUGUGCACACCCCACUCAUCCACUCAACACCUGUGCACACUAUGUAGGUUUAGAUGARCAUCGGGGCUUCAGCUUCGGUGGGAGUCUGACCUAUGUCUUUAUAAACUCUGUUUAGUAAAUGAAUGUAAUUGCGAUAAACGCAUUUUAUACAACUUUCAGCAACGGAUCUCUUGGCUCUCGCAUCGAUGAAGAACGCAGCGAAAUGCGAUAAGUAAUGUGAAUUGCAGAAUUCAGUGAAUCAUYGAAUCUUUGAACGCACCUUGCGCCCCUUGGUAUUCCGAGGGGCACACCUGUUUGAGUGUCGUGAAAUUCUCAACUCAAAUACCUUUGCUGGUGUYUGAGCUUGGAUUUGGGGGUUUUGCUGGCUUGUGUCGGCUCCCCUUGAAUGUAUUAGCUCGGACCCUUGCGGAUCAGCUAUCGGUGUGAUAAUUGUCUACGCCGUGGUUGUGAUGCCACCUUUUAGGUGUUGAGGGAUCGGCUUCCAAUCGUCCCUUGGGACAAUUAUUUUGAAAUCUGACCUCAAAUCAGGUGGGACUACCCGCUGAACUUAAGCAUAUCAAUAAGCGGAGGAAAAGAAACUAACAAGGAUUCCCCUAGUAACUGCGAGUGAAGCGGGAAAAGCUCAAAUUUAAAAUCUGGCGGUCUUUGGCCGUCCGAGUUGUAGUCUGGAGAAGUGCUUUCCGCGCUGGACCGUGUAUAAGUCUCCUGGAACGGAGYGUCAUAGAGGGUGAGAAUCCCGUCUUUGACACGGACUACCAGUGCUCUGUGAUGCGCUCUCAAAGAGUCGAGUUGUUUGGGAAUGCAGCUCAAAAUGGGUGGUGAAUUCCAUCUAAAGCUAAAUAUUGGCGAGAGACCGAUAGCGAACAAGUACCGUGAGGGAAAGAUGAAAAGCACUUUGGAAAGAGAGUUAAACAGUACGUGAAAUUGCUGAAAGGGAAACGCUUGAAGUCAGUCGCGUCGGCCGGAACUCAGCCUUGCUUUUGCUUGGUGUACUUUCCGGUUGACGGGCCAGCAUCGAUUUUGACCGUUGGAAAAAGGCAGGGGGAAUGUGGCACCUUCGGGUGUGUUAUAGCCCCUUGUUGCAUACAACGGUUGGGAUCGAGGAACGCAGCACGCCUUAUGGCUGGGGUUCGCCCACAUUCGUGCUUAGGAUGCUGGCGUAAUGGCUUUAAACGACCCGUCUUGAAACACGGACCAAGGAGUCUAACAUGCCUGCGAGUGUUUGGGUGGAAAACCCGAGCGCGUAAUGAAAGUGAAGAUCGGGACUUCUGUCAUGGAAGGCACCGAUGCCCGGACCUGACGUUCUCUGACGGCUCCGCGGUAGAGCAUGUAUGUUGGGACCCGAAAGAUGGUGAACUAUGCCUGAAUAGGGUGAAGCCAGAGGAAACUCUGGUGGAGGCUCGUAGCGAUUCUGACGUGCAAAUCGAUCGUCAAAUUUGGGUAUAGGGGCGAAAGACUAAUCGAACCAUCUA
This 1497-nucleotide ribosomal RNA is filed under the name Sebipora aquosa. RNAcentral describes it as "eukaryotic LSU rRNA". The stretch from base 540 to 1497 matches the Rfam family "Eukaryotic large subunit ribosomal RNA", at positions 1 to 946 of the family's 3401-position model. The record is from RNAcentral. Lineage: Eukaryota; Fungi; Basidiomycota; Agaricomycetes; Polyporales; Gelatoporiaceae.